ACGAACGCUGGCGGCGUGCUUAACACAUGCAAGUCGAACGAGUCCACCCUUUCGGGGGUGAGGCGAGUGGCGGACGGGUGCGUAACACGUGAGCAACCUGUCCCUGUGCGGGGGACAACCCGGGGAAACCCGGGCUAAUACCGCAUGGGCGGAGACCUCGAGUGGGGACUCCGGGAAAGACGGCCUCUUUACAAUGCUGUCGUGCAGGGAGGGGCUCGCGGGCUAUCAGCUAGUUGGUGCGGUAAUGGCGCACCAAGGCAACGACGGCUAGGGGGUCUGAGAGGACGACCCCCCACAUUGGAACUGAGACACGGUCCAGACUCCUACGGGAGGCAGCAGUGGGGAAUUUUGGGCAAUGGCCGAAAGGCUGACCCAGCGACGCCGCGUGCGGGAGGACGCUUUUCGGAGUGUAAACCGCUGUCAGAGGGGAAGAAACCUCCAGGUGGGAAU
RNAcentral lists this ribosomal RNA (450 nucleotides) under uncultured bacterium. Its description in RNAcentral is "bacterial SSU rRNA". It matches the Rfam family "Bacterial small subunit ribosomal RNA", at positions 29 to 469 of the family's 1533-position model. The record is from RNAcentral.